Molecule: transfer RNA, 77 nt
Filed under: Candidatus Saccharimonadota bacterium
Lineage: Bacteria; Candidatus Saccharimonadota
Description: tRNA-Arg
Rfam family: tRNA
About the family: Transfer RNA (tRNA) molecules are approximately 80 nucleotides in length. Their secondary structure includes four short double-helical elements and three loops (D, anti-codon, and T loops).
Source: RNAcentral
GCCCUGGUAGCUCAGCUGGAUAGAGCAGAGGACUUCUAAGCCUAAGGUCAUUGGUUCGAAUCCAAUCCGGGGCACCA